GAUCGUGAGCAUGGUUUGGAAGCAACUUAAUGACCAUGGCAAGAACUGGAGGCACGUGUACAAGGCCCGACACUGCUGGACUGCCUUAUCCAAACUGCUUCUCAGCGGGAAGCCCAGAGUGCCGUGAGAACACCUUUGCCGUUCAGACUCUGAAGGACUUUGGCAAAGAUCAGGGAUUCGACAUGCGAGAGAAUUCAAAGCAGCUGGUUGUUCUCCUCAAAGAUGAGGAGCAACUGAAGACUGAGCGGGUCGAGGCUCUCAAAACCAAAGAACGCAUGACUCAGGUGGCCACUGGUGUGGGCAGCAACCAGAUUACCUUCGGCCGUGGCUCGAGCCAGCCCAACCUUUCUACUAGCUACUCGGAGCAGGAGUAUGGCAAGGCUGGGGGCUCACCGGCCUUCUAGCAUGGCUAGGAACACUCCAUAGCUCAGCAUCAGCAAGACAUCCUCACAUGUGGAAAAGAGUCUCUGGAAUUUGAUUUGGUUGCAUGGCUGGGCCUGCACUGCACAGGACUGAUGUAUGUUCUGAUUGUAUGUGAUGGAUCACUUUGGAUCUUUGUCCUACAUUCAAAAGAGGUUUCGGGGAGAGGAAAUGGUGUUUGGGUCUUAUAGAAGCCGAUUUCUGAUCCCGUGGGACUCCUGGGCUCUGCCAGGAAGUGAUCCAAGGCACGAUGUUCAGCCUCUGUUCUUAGGGCUGAGCAACCACUGAGGACCCUGAACUUGAGAGAAAGGUGGCUCAGGUAGCCCUUGUAUGCAUAAGUUUUAUCUUCUGGCAGCAGAAACAAGUUUCCAAAUCAAUACCUUUGGAAUUAGUAUAUAAUGUCAGCAUAACAGAACUUUUGUUUUGUUUUGUUUUGUUUUCUGAGAGUGGGUUUCCCUAUGUAGUCAGGUUGGCUGCAAACUUGCUGUCUUCCUUCUGCAGCCUCCAGAGUGCUGGGUGACAAGUAUGUGUUAUGUGCAUGAGUUCUAUGACAGAACACUUUUCGUUCUUAAUAGUUUUGCUACUUGCCAGCACUUCCUGCUUUUGUAUAUUAGGUUUCAGUCAGAUUUUGGACCACUGUUA
Myodes glareolus (Bank vole) is the source of this 1062-nucleotide long non-coding RNA. RefSeq lists it as uncharacterized. The record is from RefSeq and is a predicted model, not a curated record. NCBI's taxonomy places the organism in Eukaryota, Metazoa, Chordata, Mammalia, Rodentia, Cricetidae.